Molecule: ribosomal RNA, 253 nt
Filed under: uncultured bacterium
Lineage: Bacteria
Description: partial 16S ribosomal RNA
Rfam family: Bacterial small subunit ribosomal RNA
Source: RNAcentral
UACGGAGGGUGCGAGCGUUAUCCGGAUUCACUGGGUUUAAAGGGUGCGUAGGUGGGCAGGUAAGUCAGUGGUGAAAUCUCCGAGCUUAACUCGGAAACUGCCAUUGAUACUAUCUGUCUUGAAUUUUUUGGAGGUAAGCGGAAUAUGUCAUGUAGCGGUGAAAUGCCUAGACAUGACAUAGAACACCAAUUGCGAAGGCAGCUUACUACGAAAUUAUUGACACUGAGGCACGAAAGCGUGGGGAUCAAACAGG